AGAGUUUGAUCAUGGCUCAGAUUGAACGCUGGCGGCAGGCCUAACACAUGCAAGUCGAACGGUAACAGGAAGCAGCUUGCUGCUUUGCUGACGAGUGGCGGACGGGUGAGUAAUGUCUGGGAAACUGCCUGAUGGAGGGGGAUAACUACUGGAAACGGUAGCUAAUACCGCAUAACGUCGCAAGACCAAAGAGGGGGACCUUCGGGCCUCUUGCCAUCGGAUGUGCCCAGAUGGGAUUAGCUUGUUGGUGGGGUAACGGCUCACCAAGGCGACGAUCCCUAGCUGGUCUGAGAGGAUGACCAGCCACACUGGAACUGAGACACGGUCCAGACUCCUACGGGAGGCAGCAGUGGGGAAUAUUGCACAAUGGGCGCAAGCCUGAUGCAGCCAUGCCGCGUGUAUGAAGAAGGCCUUCGGGUUGUAAAGUACUUUCAGCGGGGAGGAAGGGAGUAAAGUUAAUACCUUUGCUCAUUGACGUUACCCGCAGAAGAAGCACCGGCUAACUCCGUGCCAGCAGCCGCGGUAAUACGGAGGGUGCAAGCGUUAAUCGGAAUUACUGGGCGUAAAGCGCACGCAGGCGGUUUGUUAAGUCAGAUGUGAAAUCCCCGGGCUCAACCUGGGAACUGCAUCUGAUACUGGCAAGCUUGAGUCUCGUAGAGGGGGGUAGAAUUCCAGGUGUAGCGGUGAAAUGCGUAGAGAUCUGGAGGAAUACCGGUGGCGAAGGCGGCCCCCUGGACGAAGACUGACGCUCAGGUGCGAAAGCGUGGGGAGCAAACAGGAUUAGAUACCCUGGUAGUCCACGCCGUAAACGAUGUCGACUUGGAGGUUGUGCCCUUGAGGCGUGGCUUCCGGAGCUAACGCGUUAAGUCGACCGCCUGGGGAGUACGGCCGCAAGGUUAAAACUCAAAUGAAUUGACGGGGCCCGCACAAGCGGUGGAGCAUGUGGUUUAAUUCGAUGCAACGCGAAGAACCUUACCUGGUCUUGACAUCCACGGAAGUUUUCAGAGAUGGAUUGGUGCCUUCGGGAACUGUGAGACAGGUGCUGCAUGGCUGUCGUCAGCUCGUGUUGUGAAAUGUUGGGUUAAGUCCCGCAACGAGCGCAACCCUUAUCCUUUGUUGCCAGCGGUCCGGCCGGGAACUCAAAGGAGACUGCCAGUGAUAAACUGGAGGAAGGUGGGGAUGACGUCAAGUCAUCAUGGCCCUUACGACCAGGGCUACACACGUGCUACAAUGGCGCAUACAAAGAGAAGCGACCUCGCGAGAGCAAGCGGACCUCAUAAAGUGCGUCGCAGUCUCAGGGAGUCUGCAACUCGACUCCAUGAAGUCGGAAUCGCUAGUAAUCGUGGAUCAGAAUGCCACGGUGAAUACGUUCCCGGGCCUUGUACACACCGCCCGUCACACCAUGGGAGUGGGUUGCAAAAGAAGUAGGUAGCUUAACCUUCGGGAGGGCGCUUACCACUUUGUGAUUCAUGACUGGGGUGAAGUCGUAACAAGGUAACCGUAGGGGAACCUGCGGUUGGAUCACCU
Molecule: ribosomal RNA, 1527 nt
Filed under: Escherichia coli P0302308.1
Lineage: Bacteria; Pseudomonadati; Pseudomonadota; Gammaproteobacteria; Enterobacterales; Enterobacteriaceae
Description: bacterial SSU rRNA
Rfam family: Bacterial small subunit ribosomal RNA
Source: RNAcentral